RNAcentral lists this ribosomal RNA (439 nucleotides) under uncultured bacterium. RNAcentral's name for it is "partial 16S ribosomal RNA". It matches the Rfam family "Bacterial small subunit ribosomal RNA", at positions 339 to 795 of the family's 1533-position model. The record is from RNAcentral.
CUACGGGGGGCUGCAGUGAGGAAUUUUGCGCAAUGGGGGAAACCCUGACGCAGCAACGCCGCGUGCGGGAUGACGGCCUUCGGGUUGUAAACCGCUUUCAGUAGGGAAGAAACCAUGACGGUACCUACAGAAGAAGCCCCGGCUAACUACGUGCCAGCAGCCGCGGUAAUACGUAGGGGGCAAGCGUUAUCCGGAUUCAUUGGGCGUAAAGCGCGCGUAGGCGGCGCGCCAAGCAAAACCUCUAACCUCAGGGCUCAACCUUGAGCCGGGUUUUGAACUGGCGUGCCGAGUUCGGUAGAGGCAGGCGGAAUUCCCGGUGUAGCGGUGGAAUGCGCAGAUAUCGGGAAGAACACCGAUGGCGAAGGCAGCCUGCUGGGCCGUAACUGACGCUGAGGUGCGAAAGCUAGGGGAGCGAACAGGAUUAGAUACCACAGUAGUC